Molecule: ribosomal RNA, 355 nt
Filed under: Melanoleuca substrictipes
Lineage: Eukaryota; Fungi; Basidiomycota; Agaricomycetes; Agaricales; Pluteaceae
Description: eukaryotic LSU rRNA
Rfam family: 5.8S ribosomal RNA (bases 1-134)
Source: RNAcentral
UUGGCUCUCGCAUCGAUGAAGAACGCAGCGAAAUGCGAUAAGUAAUGUGAAUUGCAGAAUUCAGUGAAUCAUCGAAUCUUUGAACGCACCUUGCGCUCCUUGGUAUUCCGAGGAGCAUGCCUGUUUGAGUGUCAUUAAAUUCUCAAUCCUCUCUGGGUUUUCUCAGUUAGGAUUGGAUAGUGGGGGCUUUGCUGGCUUGAAUAAGGUCAGCUCUCCUAAAAUACAUUAGCAAGACUCUUGUUGCAGCCUUCUAUAUGGUGUGAUAAUUAUCUACAUCAUAGAUUGUAUGCAGUAAUAAAAAAGUCAGGCUUCUAACCGUCCAUUGACUUGGACAAACUAAUUGACAAAUUUGACC